Molecule: non-coding RNA, 81 nt
Organism: Tribolium castaneum (red flour beetle)
Lineage: Eukaryota; Metazoa; Arthropoda; Insecta; Coleoptera; Tenebrionidae
Gene: Mir9a
Product: microRNA mir-9a
Exons: 1
Source: RefSeq, marked provisional
CUGAUAUUUUCUUUGGUUAUCUAGCUGUAUGAGUAUUGUUUAAUAACAUCAUAAAGCUAGGUUACCGGAGUUAAAACCAGU